UGCUUCGAGCUCCCUCUGACCCGCGACGCGUCCCGACGACCCGAGAAGAAGACCCGGUCGGAACUCCUCCGUCCGGCCAUCUCCCGGCGGAGAACCACCAGCGUUCAAUUCCUCUUCUCAACGUCAACACGCCCAUGGUGGUGGAUUAUACAUGCACGGAUCGUGGGGAGAGAUUCGAAGCUUGGAAACUUGAAGCUUUUCCGGCGACUUCGGCAUCGUUUGGGUUUUCUGAGCUCUUCUGGGUUCGUUUUCCGUCUUGCCUGCACCUGUAGACGCGUCAACCUCGACUAUAGCUGGAUGUUCGAAGCUGCUGGGUUGGUGUACUCUGGCUCCUCCGUUUGUUCAUCGUCGAAAUUCCGGGAAGUACCGUGUCUUGAAAUUGAGCCUAGGUGAGCUACGUUAUCUAUCUUUAGCCUUGGAGAAUUUUGGUUGCUGUUGCCAGAUGGGUGUUGUUAUGCAUGGAGUUUUGGUUUGAAAGUAAAGAACAGGGAGAAGUUAUUGGAGAGUGAAAGUGCAAAGAUUAAGAAAAUGGUUAUUAAUCGGAAUUGAAGUAGUGAUUUCGUUUGCAA
Rosa rugosa (rugosa rose) is the source of this 569-nucleotide long non-coding RNA. RefSeq lists it as uncharacterized. NCBI's taxonomy places the organism in Eukaryota, Viridiplantae, Streptophyta, Magnoliopsida, Rosales, Rosaceae. The transcript has 2 exons. The record is from RefSeq and is a predicted model, not a curated record.